RNAcentral lists this ribosomal RNA (291 nucleotides) under uncultured Glomeromycotina. Its description in RNAcentral is "partial large subunit ribosomal RNA". Lineage: Eukaryota; Fungi; Glomeromycota. The record is from RNAcentral.
CGAUUGAAGUCAGUCGUACUGGCGCGAAAUCAACCCUCUCGUCGAGAGGACACAUGGCGUGGCGAGCCUCAAAACCGUCACGAAGCGUGAACUCUUGGCGAAAAGGAGCACUUUCGUGUCCGCUGGUUAACAUCAAUUUCGAACGUCAUAAAAAGGCUGGAGGGAUGUGGCUCCUUCGGGAGUGUUAUAACCUUUAGCGGAAUGUGGUGGUCGGGAUUGAGGAUUGCAACGAAUACCUUUAGGGCUGUUCCACCUGGCUUCUCUUUGGCAUCCUGGUGACGACAGCUUGCU